CGUUUCGAUGUGUACCGGUUUUAUUUCGAUACGUAUCACUACAAAAAAUCGAUACGUAACGAUAUGGUCUCUUUGAAAAUCUUGUAUCAUUGUUAACCAUAGGAUUCUUGUGACUUGUCUACUUGUCGACUUAUUACAGAGAAGAAUAAAACAAUUAAUUGAACCUUAAAAUACCAGGAACUAGAUGUGCUGUUGCUGUUUGCUCAAAUAGUUUACUGGAAACAAAAAAAAAAAAAAUUUUAUCAUAUUUUAUCAUACAUUUCCAAAAUAUCAAAAACUAUGCCAUGUUUGGAUUAAUGCCUGCCGGAGAAAAGAUAAGUGGAAUCAUAAGACCAGUACAAUUUGUAGUGUAUAUUUUUUGAAAAACAAUUUUGAAGUUGAUUUAAGAAGCCAAUUAAUGAACAUCAAAAUAAAAUUAAAACCAUAUGCUAUUCCAACUCAACAUUUAAAAGAGAAAUAUUUACCAAAUGUGUCAACUAAUAUAUUAUCAUCUAGACAAGUAUGUGCAAACAUGCGUGAAAAUGCAACUAUUGUUCAAAGUUUAAUACCAACUCAAGAGAAUAAAGAUAUACGUAGCAAAAGAAGAUGAAGAUAAAGUACACGAGGAGUUGCCUACUUUAAUUAAUGAAUCAAUUGAACAUAAGUACCAACAAUUACUUAACGACCAUGAAAAAUUGAAAACAAAGUAUAAACAUUUAUCUCAAUUCAAUAAAUUUUAAAAAAAUCGUAUUAAUACUUAGAACAAAAAAUGUAAUUUUCUUUCUCAAAAAUUUGGAGAACAAGCUUCGCAAACUCAUAUCUUACAUGAAUCAUUAAAAAUAGUGUUCAGUCAAACACAAUUACAAUUAAUAACUAAAAAGAAAAUAAUAGUGAUUUGGAGCACAGAAGAUAUUUCAAAAGCUUUUACAUUACAAUAUCUUAGUAAAAAGUGUUACAUUUAUCUAAGAAACAAAUUUAACUAUCCAUUACCACUUGUAUCAACUUAAGUUAAAUGGGCUUUUAGAUUAAAUUUUCGUCAGGGUAUUUUGGUUAGCGUUAUUAGAAUAAUGAAAAUAGCAGCACUAAAUUUAAAUAAUAUUGAAAAAUUGUGUAUUAUUCAAUUUGAUGAAAUGAAGAUACAAUCAGUUUAUGAGUAUGAUAAAAAAAAAUGAUCAAGUCAUAGGGCCCCACAGUCAAAUGCAAGUAAUCAUGGUGAGAGGCAUCUUUAAGAAUUGAAAACAACAAAUAUAUGUCAAUUUUGAUCAAUUAGUUACACCGGAAAUUCUGUCUGAAGCUAUAUCUAUUUUAUAUGAAAAUUCAUAUAAUGUGGUUGCCUGUGUAUCUGAUUAUGGUGGUGGUAAUGUUGGGUUAUGGAAGAAGUUGGGUAUAACUAUUGACAAAACAUAUUUUCUACUUGCCCGUAAAUUUAAAAACGAAUAUCCCCACUUGGGUUGUUAUACCAAAGACAAUAAACCAGAUCAUUCAUACAGUACACCAAGUUGGGUUCAACAUCUGUCAUUUGGUGGUUUAACUGAACCGUCUACAGAUUGGGAUAAGCAAGCUAAAAUUUUUGAAAUCCUGUUUAAAAAGUUUCACAAAGAAAAAAAUGAUACCGACUCAAAUAUUGUUAAAAGAUUAACUAAACUAAUAAAGAAAAAAUGUGAUAUGCCUGAAGAUUUAAUUAAAGCGUUUAUUCUCCAAAGGACUUACAUUAGAAUUAAACUGCUGAAUGAUAAUCUUAUAGCUGAAAGAUCUGAAGGUAAAAAAACAUCAAGCACAGAUAGAAAAUCAACUAAAAAAAAUGAAAAAAAAAUAAUAACAUAAAUUGUAUGUGAUUGUAAUAUUAAAAUAACUAGUAUUUAAACCUUAUAUGUGAGCAUAUCAUUACAAUAUUUAGUAUACUUUUAUUUGUGUAAAAAUUAUUAAUUGUUUAUGUAUAUUUGUAAGAUUAAAGUUUGAACUUGUAAAUUCUUAUUUUAUUAAUUUUUCACAAUGUGUUUCAAAUACAUAUUAUUAUUAUUAAAUGUUUGUAUUAUAAAUUUAUGUUACCUAA
Aphis gossypii (cotton aphid) is the source of this 2032-nucleotide long non-coding RNA. RefSeq lists it as uncharacterized. NCBI's taxonomy places the organism in Eukaryota, Metazoa, Arthropoda, Insecta, Hemiptera, Aphididae. The record is from RefSeq and is a predicted model, not a curated record. The transcript is spliced from 3 exons.